AGUCAUAUGCUUGUCUCAAAGAUUAAGCCAUGCAUGUCUCAGUACAAGCCAAAUUAAGGUGAAACCGCGAAAGGCUCAUUAAAUCAGUUAUGGUUCCUUAGAUCGUACCCACAUUUACUUGGAUAACUGUGGUAAUUCUAGAGCUAAUACAUGCAAACAGAGCUCCGACCAGAGAUGGAAGGAGUGCUUUUAUUAGAUCAAAACUAAUCGGCGGCAGUUUAGUUUCGGCUCUACUGUUCGUCGCAUUAUAUGGUGACUCUGAAUAACUUUUUGCUGAUCGCACGGUCUUGCACCGGCGACGUAUCUUUCAAAUGUCUGCCUUAUCAACUGUCGAUGGUAGGUUCUGCGCCUACCAUGGUUGUAACGGGUAACGGGGAAUCAGGGUUCGAUUCCGGAGAGGGAGCCUGAGAAACGGCUACCACAUCCAAGGAAGGCAGCAGGCGCGCAAAUUACCCACUCCCGGCACGGGGAGGUAGUGACGAAAAAUAACGAUACGGGACUCAUCCGAGGCCCCGUAAUCNGAAUGAGUACACUUUAAAUCCUUUAACAAUUAACAAUUGGAGGGAAAGUCUGGUGCC
RNAcentral lists this ribosomal RNA (578 nucleotides) under Himalotrechodes insignis. RNAcentral's name for it is "SSU rRNA". It matches the Rfam family "Eukaryotic small subunit ribosomal RNA", at positions 22 to 568 of the family's 1831-position model. The record is from RNAcentral. Lineage: Eukaryota; Metazoa; Arthropoda; Insecta; Coleoptera; Carabidae.